GGGCGCUCCGCCUCUUUCCCGGCGUGGGACACCCCCCCCCCCCCCCGAUGCCCCUGUCCCGGCGCGCCUGCUUGAGGAAAGAGCGCCAGAAUGCAGAACCCAACGUCUUCCAAUUAUUAUCACAAUGAAUUAUCCUGUGCAGACCAAGAUAGAAACCAAUCUGUUUGUAUUACAUGAUAUGAUAGUUAUAUAUUUUCUUUUAAAAAGCAAACAGACCUCAGUUCGCUCCACUGCAGAUCUCACCGCACCCCACCCCCCAGCUAUAUUUAUACAAGGCCCAUGGAAAGGCAUGGCAGACCUCAGAUGAAAAGAUUUAAAUCUACAUGUAUAGUUGAAUUGCUGCGUCUGAAGGAGAGCUAUUCCCAGGUCCUUGUGUUAGCUGAUGUUUAGUCUUGCUUCCCAGGAUGUUUUAAAUCUACAUGAAAACACUGGUUAAAGUCACUUAAGGACUUGAACUGCCGUGCUAUAGAUAUGGGCUGGACUGAAAGAGAAUGACUAGCUCAAAGUCACUGGGUGAGUUUCUGUGGCUGAAGGUCAACUUGAACCAGAGUCUCCCUGAUUCUUAAGCGCACUCGAGUCUAAAAACAUAUAAUUAUAUUUUAAUAAUUCUGCCUGCCCCAGCUUAAUAGAUCUGUUUUUGAUACUGAGCAAAGCAUGUAUGUAAGCACUUGCCAUUUAUGUCUUUUUAAAAUAGCUCUACAUUCCUAUCUAAAUAGUUUACUUCACUUUAAUUGGGGUCAACAGGAUGUUGGAUCCUCUCACUGCAACGGUAGGGAAUGUCUAAUUCAAACGUAAUGUAUAAAGAUUUAUGGCGGCAGAAGUCUUGGCUAAAUAAAUAAGAGCAACAGCACAAGAGAAAUGGAGGGGAGGGAGAGCUCAGAUUUGGAAGUCCUUUGACACAGUCCAAAGAUGGAAUUGUGUUUCAUGAACAGCUCAACAGCAUACCCUAUUGGCUCAUUUCUAGAGAUGCAAGAAAACAUUUGAAAAUGCAAAUUAAGCACAGAGAUGGGAGGUUUCCCCUAAAUGUGGUGCACAGAGGGGGUCACUUGCAAAGAAACGCAAAAAGGUGGGAGUGGCUGUUUUCAUCUUUCUCUUCCAGCCUUUUUCUUAAGCUUAUUGAGAAUGUAGACUCCACCACACUUCUUUCUGUCCUGUUGGGGAUAACCAAACCUACACUAACAAAGUUUUCAUCCGCCUCUCCUUUCUUGUGGAAUUAAGUGUAACUUUAAUGUUUUCAAAAUUCUAAUGCUUUAGCAGCUCACUCAACAUAUAUCCACUUUUGGAAUUUUACAGACAAAUUUUAGGAUUUUGGGAAAUUCAAAUCAUGUGUGAACUGACUUCAAGCUAAUCUGGAAACACUAAACUCCCCUAAAUAGACAGCAAACAUCUGAACAAUUGCUAUUGGAUUUAUGCAACCUAGAUAAUUCUAGCUUGCUUCUUUAGAGAUUCCUGGUAGAUGUUUUAAGCAAACUCUGUCUAGCUAGUUUCCUCACUAAAGUUGCUUUUUAAGGCUUGAUUAUUCCAUUAUCUUUGGCAAUUGAAGAUGCAAAUGUGUACAGCAAAAUAUAAAAGAUCAUCAAAAGAUCUCAUACAGGGCAAUGUUUACUUUCUGAAUGGAUCUAGAGAAGGAUGGAGGUUUAAAAGAAGUACCAAGCCUCCUCACGGGUCCAUUUUUACAAGUAUUAUUAAAAUACAAACUAAUAUAUAGUCAUAUAAGAAGUCAUAUAUAAUUCAAAAAGAGAUUUUGAAUUUGGAAAAAUUACCGAAAGGAAAUGGCUGCGAAUGCUUUGAUCAAGCUGAAAAGAUAUUGAGUUCUUUGAAAAAUAAUAAUAGAAUUGCCACGUGAAUUAAUGUUAUAAAAAUGCUUGUGAGAAAGAGACAUCAAGGAGGGAAGAAACAAAGCCGACAAAGAUUGACAUUGACUCCAGGCCUCAAUUUUUAAGUGAAUGGAUACAAAAAUAAAAUCAUAUAAAAGGUGUGGAAUCAACAGGACUGGAAAUAGCAUAGCAUUAAACAGACUAUGGUAAAUACAUUUUUAACCAUUAGAUUUUUCUAACCUUACAACAAAUGCUGCCCCCGGGACAAAGCAAUGAGAGUGCUUAGCAAGGUUUUAAAAUGUACCUAAAUGAAGCAUAUCAUACCUAAGGAAAGGGUCCCUAAAGAUUUUGGCACUCUUUUUGUGCUGCUCCACUUACGCUAAUGCUGCUAAUGCUUGGCCAUUUGUUUGCAUUAACAACUAACAGUCUUCAUGCCAGCUGGAAUUUUCAGGAAAAUUGGCAUGUAAAAAAAACACACGUAUUUUCUCCAUUUGCUGUAAACAGGGGAUGAACAGAACCUCAGGAAUCAGGAAGAAACCAUCUGGGGAGACUGGCAACAUCAACAACCCCCUCCCCAUGGCAUUAGCAGACAAG
Thamnophis elegans (Western terrestrial garter snake) is the source of this 2411-nucleotide long non-coding RNA. RefSeq lists it as uncharacterized. The record is from RefSeq and is a predicted model, not a curated record. NCBI's taxonomy places the organism in Eukaryota, Metazoa, Chordata, Lepidosauria, Squamata, Natricidae. The transcript is spliced from 5 exons.